AUGGAUCAUUCCUCAAGCUGUAAUAGACCCUUUGGUGAAGCUCUUCAAUCAAACCUGAGAAUUCAAGGAGAAUGGAAAAGGGAAAAUGUGAGUACAGAGAAAGUAGCACUGAUUUCCAUCACAAAAAAGAGAUUCUACAGAGCUCUGGAGGAAAGUCACACCACAGCACAGGCAGAUCCUGGGAAAUGCACUGAAUCUGUGGACUGCCUUGGUACUGUUGUAGGCCAAUGUGUCUUGCACCUCUGUGCUGGAAUUCUGUGGGACUCCUCUCCAAACCAAAGUUCCUCAAAAAAGUUUCUAUGUUAG
Molecule: long non-coding RNA, 306 nt
Filed under: Sus scrofa (pig)
Lineage: Eukaryota; Metazoa; Chordata; Mammalia; Artiodactyla; Suidae
Description: lncRNA (ENSSSCG00070008721.1)
Source: RNAcentral